GAGCGCAACAGCGCGUCUACGCCGACAGUGCGUGUGCAGUCAGAGAGGUCUUCAAGGCUAGGGGAAAGAGGAGGUGAAGAGAGGAACAGUGAGGUUUUAACAACAGAUGGCUACUUGAGGUAAUGACGGCGAUCAUUAGCCGCAACGGCUAGAGUGAGGGUUCGAGGGGAGCUAAAGGAGACAAUCAGAGUACGGCGGUGGAACGAAUAGAAGGGACGUGCGUGAGGGACGUCAAGUCCAGCAACCACGCCGGUACCCAGACCAGAUCCAUGGCGCGCGGAGGAGCUAGGGGGUCCGGGCGGUUAUCACUCCUCCGUAUCGUCCCGAACUCCUCGUCAACGCACUCCCUCAUCAACUAGUCAACUCGAUCAGCUUGAGCUACCACCGCAACGGCAGUCGCACCUAGCAGAGGGGACGUCACCCUGCCUCCAUUCGCUCACUUCGUCGUACCUCAAACUCCACGGGGGCACGCACUACAACCUCGAGGUCGCACGUUCCGUGAAAAGUCGGAUACUACUUACGUCCAAACAUAGGUGUGGCCGACCAACGUUCCGGCGAUUCCUACACCUAUUCGGUUAUGUCAUAUCAAGUUUCAUGUUUCGUUUAAUUCUUGUCUAAAAUCCAUUACAUCAGUCGUACCGGAUUGUCCGCUUCAAAAUCCGUCUAAACCCAAACACGGAUCAUCACGAACCUUAACGGCUCCUGCCUGGUACUUCGCCAUGGUCGAGGAGAGGAAAUCAAAUUAAAACGCUACGUCUGGUAUGUCAAUCCACAGGACGGACUCCUGUAACCAAUACGUAUCUAAUAAGGCAUACAAACGACGAUAGUUACUAAUAACGAAAAAAACUGUUUUUAGUGGAGAAAUAAGUGAGCGAUGGUUACUAAUAACCACUACUAUUGAACAAUCAGUUUUAAGACUUAAAUAACUCCGGGGUAGGUGAAAAAGGACGGUACGCUGGUCAUAGCCGUUACAAUCCGAGACAUGGGAUGUAUGAUAUAGCUACUAAAUACUUAACUAUGUAUAUAAACGUUGACCGAUAACAAAAUUAUAAAGAGUUUCUAAUUAAUUUAAAUUUAUUGAACGCAAGAACAUAUUUCAUAUUACUACUCACCUGCAACAGUGAUAUCCGAGCGUAAUAUAUUAUUCACAAAAGUAAUUUACAAGUACGUAAAAAAGGUUACAAAGAGAUCUUAUCAUCUGAUAUAGGAAGGACAGUAUAUCACACAUUGUAAGUACAAUCGUAUCUAUUCAGUUAAAUAAUUUAACUUCUCUAAAACGUCCUUUGAUUAAUAGGCACAUGAACACGAAUACAUUUUCCGACCGUUGUAGUAUGCUUUUCACACAUAAAAUCAAGUAAUGAACCUUUUAAAUAAACAUCUAAUACAUGAACUGGUGUAGUAGCAGUAGCGAUAGAAGUAGUAAACUAAUAGGCGCCAGGUAGAGAAAAACAGAGAACUCUUACAAUGCAUAUCUACAGGUACAAAUAUAGCAAGGUUGGCUAGAAGGAAGGAAGGAAAAAUUAUACUAUAAAACGUAUAUCAAAAAGCUGGAAAAGACAACAGAAAGGUAUCGAUAAAGUAUUCAAUUCACUCACCAAGAGAGUCAACCAUCGUGUCAGACUUUAUCAGUACGAAGAUCGAUAUGGACGGUUAGAAGUAUGCUCUUUUAACGUGGUGCAGCAACGUGAAUGGCCAACCGAGAUACUUCAAGUUUUAAAAGUAUAGUCAUGUAAGUACAAGUUCGAAGAAUCAAGACCUAGUAAAUUUAUAAUUAUAACCAACAAGAACAAGUAUGAUUUUAAGUAGGGAUAUGAAAAAGCCUACCUACCCCAUGUUGAAUGUAUAGACCACUAUAAAAAGAGACAGGAGUUAAAACUAAGACACGUGGGAAACAAUGAACAUAUGGGUAAACUCACUGUUCGAAAAACCUUACCUGCCUCAUGUUGAAUGUAUAGACCACCAAAAAAAAGAGACAGGAGUUAAAACUUCAACACGUGGGCAAACAAUGAAUAUCAGGAACCAACGGUAGGGAGAUAACAUGGGUUACGUAAACACUUGUGUCCGUUGUACAAUAAACUCCGGAACUGUUAUCUUUAUAUUUAUAUAUAAUCAAUCAUUCAUAUUGACCUUUUUUAUACAUAUCAAUCAAAAAACAAGGUUAGUUUUGGACUUGUGUUUUCAUAAUUGAACUCCCUUUACAAUCAUACCUUUCCCUCGCCAAGACCAGUACAAUUAAUUAGAUCCUACAUGUAUAAUUUCAAGAAGAUAAAAUCUUUUUUGAGUAGCUAGUUCGUAUCAACUAGGUAACGAAUAUUACCAAUUACAAAUCAAGCAAAUAGAUUGUUAUUAUUUAGUACUUUUAAUUAACGAAAACACGUAUUCUACCAUUACGGAUGUCAUCCACCUCGCCAGCGACCUUCCCCGAUUAACGUGUUAGAACCUCUAGGUUGCCUCUGACUCUCGUUUGAAACUUGUGUUUUUUCUAUGGACGACCUCAGCAACCACAGCAACCCACCUCAGUUAACCUGUUAACUCCUAUAGGUUGUCUCUAAACCGCUGUAGGUUCCCCGCGGGUAUACUUCCACUUGUACUUCACUUUGAACCUUCGCGAACGUUCAGACUGCCUUAACCUUUAAGUCUAACCAAAGUCCACACGCACUACCUUAAUACAAGAUUUUUAACACAAUGUAAUGUACACACGCGGGUAGGUCAGAGACUAGAUCGAACGACAAACAUGCACUCAUAAGCAUAAGAUCUUCUUUUUGAUUAGUCGUUCUUUGAACGGUAGCCCGUACACGAUUGUUUUCCUUUUAACUUAUCCAAUCGAACUAGUUAAGCCGCAGGUGUUGAACCACUAACGAAAGGCCGGUCUACGCGACCUAAUGAUACCGACCUACGAUUAUUAUUAUAUACACACAAUCAAUGAUAUGACAUAAUGACAUGUUUCAUUAGUUCGUUAGUUGGAGAACA
This 2970-nucleotide ribosomal RNA is filed under the name Triticum aestivum (bread wheat). Its description in RNAcentral is "partial small subunit ribosomal RNA". The record is from RNAcentral. Lineage: Eukaryota; Viridiplantae; Streptophyta; Magnoliopsida; Poales; Poaceae.